CCAAGGAGUCUAACAUGUGCGCGAGUCAAUGGGGAUCUCUCGAGACCCACGGGCGCAAUGAAAGUGAAGGUGGAGGCUUGUCCCCCACCGAGGCGGGAUCCGUAAAUUUUUAAAUUCCAGUUCUUUUAAUAAAAACUGGCGGCGCACCGCCGGCCCGUCGCAAACGCAACGCCGUUGCGGCGGAGCAAGAGCGUACACGUUGGGACCCGAAAGAUGGUGAUCUAUGCCCGGGCAGGACGAAGCCAGAGGAAACUCUGGUGGAGGUCCGUAGCGAUUCUGACGUGCAAAUCGAUCGUCGGACCUGGGUAUAGGGGCGAAAGACUAAUCGAACCGUCUA
This 337-nucleotide ribosomal RNA is filed under the name Paralamyctes validus. Its description in RNAcentral is "eukaryotic LSU rRNA". It matches the Rfam family "Eukaryotic large subunit ribosomal RNA", at positions 666 to 946 of the family's 3401-position model. Lineage: Eukaryota; Metazoa; Arthropoda; Chilopoda; Lithobiomorpha; Henicopidae. The record is from RNAcentral.